Plenodomus tracheiphilus IPT5 is the source of this 111-nucleotide non-coding RNA. Lineage: Eukaryota; Fungi; Ascomycota; Dothideomycetes; Pleosporales; Leptosphaeriaceae. The record is from the annotation of a GenBank genome assembly.
AGUCCUGUGGCGCAGUGGUAGCGCGCCGUUCUUAUAAAUGUCACGUGACUUUUAUGGCUCUAGUUAAUUUGAGUGAUGCGGAUGUCGUGGGUUCGACCCCCACCAGGACUA